RNAcentral lists this ribosomal RNA (461 nucleotides) under uncultured bacterium. RNAcentral describes it as "partial 16S ribosomal RNA". It matches the Rfam family "Bacterial small subunit ribosomal RNA", at positions 339 to 795 of the family's 1533-position model. The record is from RNAcentral.
CUACGGGAUGCUCCAGUAAGGAAUAUUGCGCAAUGGAGGAAACUCUGACGCAGCAACGCCGCGUGGGUGAUGACGCUCUAUGGAGUGUAAAGCCCUGUUAGAAGGGAAGAACAGAUUAUAGUAAAGCUAUAAUUUUGACGGUACCUUCAGAGAAAGCCCCGGCUAACUCCGUGCCAGCAGCCGCGGUAAUACGGGGGGGGCAAGCGUUGUCCGGAAUCACUGGGCGUAAAGGGCGUGUAGGCGGGAUGGUCAGUUAGAGGUGAAAACCUGCGGCUUAACCGUAGGCGUGCCUUUAAUACUGGCAUUCUUGAGUGCGAGAGGGGAAAGUGGAAUUCUUGGUGUAGCGGUGAAAUGCGUAGAUAUCAAGAAGAACACCGGUAGCGAAGGCUGCUUUCUGGCUCGUAACUGACGCUGAGGCGCGAAAGCGUGGGGAGCAAACAGGAUUAGAUACCCUCGUAGUC